Molecule: ribosomal RNA, 2644 nt
Filed under: Staphylococcus aureus M0908
Lineage: Bacteria; Bacillati; Bacillota; Bacilli; Caryophanales; Staphylococcaceae
Description: bacterial LSU rRNA
Rfam family: Bacterial large subunit ribosomal RNA
Source: RNAcentral
AAAGCUUGCUUGUUGGGGUUGUAGGACACUCUAUACGGAGUUACAAAGGACGACAUUAGACGAAUCAUCUGGAAAGAUGAAUCAAAGAAGGUAAUAAUCCUGUAGUCGAAAAUGUUGUCUCUCUUGAGUGGAUCCUGAGUACGACGGAGCACGUGAAAUUCCGUCGGAAUCUGGGAGGACCAUCUCCUAAGGCUAAAUACUCUCUAGUGACCGAUAGUGAACCAGUACCGUGAGGGAAAGGUGAAAAGCACCCCGGAAGGGGAGUGAAAUAGAACCUGAAACCGUGUGCUUACAAGUAGUCAGAGCCCGUUAAUGGGUGAUGGCGUGCCUUUUGUAGAAUGAACCGGCGAGUUACGAUUUGAUGCAAGGUUAAGCAGUAAAUGUGGAGCCGUAGCGAAAGCGAGUCUGAAUAGGGCGUUUAGUAUUUGGUCGUAGACCCGAAACCAGGUGAUCUACCCUUGGUCAGGUUGAAGUUCAGGUAACACUGAAUGGAGGACCGAACCGACUUACGUUGAAAAGUGAGCGGAUGAACUGAGGGUAGCGGAGAAAUUCCAAUCGAACCUGGAGAUAGCUGGUUCUCUCCGAAAUAGCUUUAGGGCUAGCCUCAAGUGAUGAUUAUUGGAGGUAGAGCACUGUUUGGACGAGGGGCCCCUCUCGGGUUACCGAAUUCAGACAAACUCCGAAUGCCAAUUAAUUUAACUUGGGAGUCAGAACAUGGGUGAUAAGGUCCGUGUUCGAAAGGGAAACAGCCCAGACCACCAGCUAAGGUCCCAAAAUAUAUGUUAAGUGGAAAAGGAUGUGGCGUUGCCCAGACAACUAGGAUGUUGGCUUAGAAGCAGCCAUCAUUUAAAGAGUGCGUAAUAGCUCACUAGUCGAGUGACACUGCGCCGAAAAUGUACCGGGGCUAAACAUAUUACCGAAGCUGUGGAUUGUCCUUUGGACAAUGGUAGGAGAGCGUUCUAAGGGCGUUGAAGCAUGAUCGUAAGGACAUGUGGAGCGCUUAGAAGUGAGAAUGCCGGUGUGAGUAGCGAAAGACGGGUGAGAAUCCCGUCCACCGAUUGACUAAGGUUUCCAGAGGAAGGCUCGUCCGCUCUGGGUUAGUCGGGUCCUAAGCUGAGGCCGACAGGCGUAGGCGAUGGAUAACAGGUUGAUAUUCCUGUACCACCUAUAAUCGUUUUAAUCGAUGGGGGGACGCAGUAGGAUAGGCGAAGCGUGCGAUUGGAUUGCACGUCUAAGCAGUAAGGCUGAGUAUUAGGCAAAUCCGGUACUCGUUAAGGCUGAGCUGUGAUGGGGAGAAGACAUUGUGUCUUCGAGUCGUUGAUUUCACACUGCCGAGAAAAGCCUCUAGAUAGAAAAUAGGUGCCCGUACCGCAAACCGACACAGGUAGUCAAGAUGAGAAUUCUAAGGUGAGCGAGCGAACUCUCGUUAAGGAACUCGGCAAAAUGACCCCGUAACUUCGGGAGAAGGGGUGCUCUUUAGGGUUAACGCCCAGAAGAGCCGCAGUGAAUAGGCCCAAGCGACUGUUUAUCAAAAACACAGGUCUCUGCUAAACCGUAAGGUGAUGUAUAGGGGCUGACGCCUGCCCGGUGCUGGAAGGUUAAGAGGAGUGGUUAGCUUCUGCGAAGCUACGAAUCGAAGCCCCAGUAAACGGCGGCCGUAACUAUAACGGUCCUAAGGUAGCGAAAUUCCUUGUCGGGUAAGUUCCGACCCGCACGAAAGGCGUAACGAUUUGGGCACUGUCUCAACGAGAGACUCGGUGAAAUCAUAGUACCUGUGAAGAUGCAGGUUACCCGCGACAGGACGGAAAGACCCCGUGGAGCUUUACUGUAGCCUGAUAUUGAAAUUCGGCACAGCUUGUACAGGAUAGGUAGGAGCCUUUGAAACGUGAGCGCUAGCUUACGUGGAGGCGCUGGUGGGAUACUACCCUAGCUGUGUUGGCUUUCUAACCCGCACCACUUAUCGUGGUGGGAGACAGUGUCAGGCGGGCAGUUUGACUGGGGCGGUCGCCUCCUAAAAGGUAACGGAGGCGCUCAAAGGUUCCCUCAGAAUGGUUGGAAAUCAUUCAUAGAGUGUAAAGGCAUAAGGGAGCUUGACUGCGAGACCUACAAGUCGAGCAGGGUCGAAAGACGGACUUAGUGAUCCGGUGGUUCCGCAUGGAAGGGCCAUCGCUCAACGGAUAAAAGCUACCCCGGGGAUAACAGGCUUAUCUCCCCCAAGAGUUCACAUCGACGGGGAGGUUUGGCACCUCGAUGUCGGCUCAUCGCAUCCUGGGGCUGUAGUCGGUCCCAAGGGUUGGGCUGUUCGCCCAUUAAAGCGGUACGCGAGCUGGGUUCAGAACGUCGUGAGACAGUUCGGUCCCUAUCCGUCGUGGGCGUAGGAAAUUUGAGAGGAGCUGUCCUUAGUACGAGAGGACCGGGAUGGACAUACCUCUGGUGUACCAGUUGUCGUGCCAACGGCAUAGCUGGGUAGCUAUGUGUGGACGGGAUAAGUGCUGAAAGCAUCUAAGCAUGAAGCCCCCCUCAAGAUGAGAUUUCCCAACUUCGGUUAUAAGAUCCCUCAAAGAUGAUGAGGUUAAUAGGUUCGAGGUGGAAGCAUGGUGACAUGUGGAGCUGACGAAUACUAAUCGAUCGAAGACUUAAUCAA